This 1373-nucleotide ribosomal RNA is filed under the name uncultured bacterium. RNAcentral describes it as "bacterial SSU rRNA". It matches the Rfam family "Bacterial small subunit ribosomal RNA", at positions 28 to 1381 of the family's 1533-position model. The record is from RNAcentral.
GAUGAACGCUGGCGGCGUGCCUAAUACAUGCAAGUCGAGCGAACGGACGAGAAGCUUGCUUCUCUGAUGUUAGCGGCGGACGGGUGAGUAACACGUGGAUAACCUACCUAUAAGACUGGGAUAACUUCGGGAAACCGGAGCUAAUACCGGAUAAUAUUUUGGACCGCGUGGUUCAAAAGUGAAAGACGGUCUUGCUGUCACUUAUAGAUGGAUCCGCGCUGCAUUAGCUAGUUGGUAAGGUAACGGCUUACCAAGGCAACGAUGCGUAGCCGACCUGAGAGGGUGAUCGGCCACACUGGAACUGAGACACGGUCCAGACUCCUACGGGAGGCAGCAGUAGGGAAUCUUCCGCAAUGGGCGAAAGCCUGACGGAGCAACGCCGCGUGAGUGAUGAAGGUCUUCGGAUCGUAAAACUCUGUUAUUAGGGAAGAACAUAUGUGUAAGUAACUGUGCACAUCUUGACGGUACCUAAUCAGAAAGCCACGGCUAACUACGUGCCAGCAGCCGCGGUAAUACGUAGGUGGCAAGCGUUAUCCGGAAUUAUUGGGCGUAAAGCGCGCGUAGGCGGUUUUUUAAGUCUGAUGUGAAAGCCCACGGCUCAAUCGUGGAGGGUCAUUGGAAACUGGAAAACUUGAGUGCAGAAGAGGAAAGUGGAAUUCCAUGUGUAGCGGUGAAAUGCGCAGAGAUAUGGAGGAACACCAGUGGCGAAGGCGACUUUCUGGUCUGUAACUGACGCUGAUGUGCGAAAGCGUGGGGAUCAAACAGGAUUAGAUACCCUGGUAGUCCACGCCGUAAACGAUGAGUGCUAAGUGUUAGGGGGUUUCCGCCCCUUAGUGCUGCAGCUAACGCAUUAAGCACUCCGCCUGGGGAGUACGACCGCAAGGUUGAAACUCAAAGGAAUUGACGGGGACCCGCACAAGCGGUGGAGCAUGUGGUUUAAUUCGAAGCAACGCGAAGAACCUUACCAAAUCUUGACAUCCUUUGACAACUCUAGAGAUAGAGCCUUCCCCUUCGGGGGGGCAAAGUGACAGGUGGUGCAUGGUUGUCGUCAGCUCGUGUCGUGAGAUGUUGGGUUAAGCCCCGCAACGAGCGCAACCCUUAAGCUUAGUUGCCAUCAUUAAGUUGGGCACUCUAAGUUGACUGCCGGUGACAAACCGGGGGAAGGUGGGGAUGACGUCAAAUCAUCAUGCCCCUUAUGAUUUGGGCUACACACGUGCUACAAUGGACAAUACAAAGGGCAGCGAAACCGCGAGGUCAAGCAAAUCCCAUAAAGUUGUUCUCAGUUCGGAUUGUAGUCUGCAACUCGGCUACAUGAAGCUGGAAUCGCUAGUAAUCGUAGAUCAGCAUGCUACGGUGAAUACGUUCCCGGGUCU